RNAcentral lists this ribosomal RNA (491 nucleotides) under uncultured bacterium. RNAcentral describes it as "partial 16S ribosomal RNA". It matches the Rfam family "Bacterial small subunit ribosomal RNA", at positions 29 to 507 of the family's 1533-position model. The record is from RNAcentral.
GUGCACGCUGGCGGUAGGCCUAACACAUGCAAGUCGAACGGCAGCACAGUAAGAGCUUGCUCUUACGGGUGGCGAGUGGCGGACGGGUGAGGAAUACAUCGGAAUCUACUUUUUCGUGGGGGAUAACGUAGGGAAACUUACGCUAAUACCGCAUACGACCUACGGGUGAAAGCAGGGGAUCUUCGGACCUUGCGCGAUUGAAUGAGCCGAUGUCGGAUUAGCUAGUUGGCGGGGUAAAGGCCCACCAAGGCGACGAUCCGUAGCUGGUCUGAGAGGAUGAUCAGCCACACUGGAACUGAGACACGGUCCAGACUCCUACGGGAGGCAGCAGUGAGGAAUAUUGGACAAUGGGCGCAAGCCUGAUCCAGCCAUACCGCGUGGGUGAAGAAGGCCUUCGAGUUGUAAAGCCCUUUUGUUGGGAAAGAAAAGCAGCAGGUUAAUACCCCGCUGUUCUGACGGUACCCAAAGAAUAAGCACCGGCUAACUUCGUG